This is a long non-coding RNA of Centrocercus urophasianus (Greater sage-grouse), 3290 nucleotides long. RefSeq lists it as uncharacterized. NCBI's taxonomy places the organism in Eukaryota, Metazoa, Chordata, Aves, Galliformes, Phasianidae. The record is from RefSeq and is a predicted model, not a curated record. The transcript has 10 exons.
UAAUAUGAAAACAAGUAAAGCCUCUGUUUCAGCUUGGGGUUUAUUUAUUUAUUUAUUUAAAUUGAAUCUUGAAUCUAUUUUUAAUCUUUAGCAUUCUUCUGGCUUCCAGAUUUCAAGAAGGUUGAAAGAUGCCUUGUUGCCUUAUUCUCCAGGGCUGGUAUCUUCUUACUCAGAAAGCCAAGGAGGGGGACUCAUAAUGUCUUCAAUUUAGAGCUGUAUCUUUGCUUAAAAUUCACAUGAAGUUCUUUGCUAAAGUUCUGGCAACAAAGUUGGAGAAACUUAAUGCCUAAGUUGUUUUAGCUGAUCAAACAACAUUUGGAAUUCUCUCUGAAUCCUAAAACUUUGGAAAGUUGUUAGUUUGUGUUAUCCCGAAUCAGUCAAACUCCUUUCACUUUCCUGGAAUCUCUGUGGGCUGAAUUACUUGAAUGUUUUUACUCUUGCAGACAUCUGCAUUCUGCCAUGGAGAUAAAUGUGAGAAAAUUCUAUUUGUAUUUUACUGCUUCAGAAGAGUUCGCUGUAAGACACUCUACAACAGACAAAGUCAACUACCAGAGGUGGGGAUUUCAGACAACAUCUUUUAAUGUGGCUGUGAAUAGAAAGAAAAGAGGAGAAAUUCUGAACCCGGCUCUAGGUGAUCUCAAAGAAAAAUACCAAAGGGGAAUUCAGGGACCAAAGGUUUACUUUAUCAGAGCACUGAGGCUGUAAUAGGAAGAUAGGAGUAAUCACCUCCAAGAUUUCUGUCACCUCAAUCAACCUUCAAGGGAAAAUCAUCACAAGAGAGCGUCUGAGGCUCAUGAAGAUGUGAGUGAUAACAUGAGGUGGUCAUAAGGCAAGAGUCAUGUGUCUCCAGACAUCUUCCAAAUGGACUGAGAGCUGUUGUUGCUUCUUCUGAUCUCCUGAGCCACUUCCAAUCCAGAUGGGAAACAGAAGAACAUGGAGAUUUUGCAAUUUGAGCUGAGCCAGGCAGGAGCUCUUUGGCAGAAGAAGAGGCCUCCCGAGGGAUAAAUACAAUCCAGAAGAUGACUGCAGAGGGAAAUGUGACCUGCAGCAUGCACAAUCUCCACUGUGAAACAAACUGCUGCUGGACCUGUACACCUCUUUAGUUCCCACGCCACAUAACAACUGCACUGGGCUAGGAUGCUCCGUGGAAGACAGCAUCUUGUAAAAGCAGUCGGGGUCUACCAGAAAACACCACAAUAAACACCACAAAACACAAGAAGGAGUCCGCCAGCUGCAGAAAGCCAACAGCGGGAUCAAAAGAGAAAUGUCCCAGGUACAAACAAGACACACGGCUGUUCGCACCACUGAAGUGGGAAGGGAAGAAAACGUGAAGAUUUAGCCCAGUUCUGUUGGCAUCAAGUGGACAUGUUUAUUACAUCUGGCAGAGAGCCUUGUCAAAACGAUGAAGUAGCAGGAAUCUCCUUGGAGAGCAAUGUAUCACAACAUUUUUGAAGAUUAUUUCCAAAUCGAAGAUGACUUCCAAAGAACAGCAAGGAUGUAAUCUUGGAGCCAAUCAAACCAAUGGCAAAAAUCCCACUUUCUGCAUGAUUUUAAUGGAGCCUCUGAAAUUUUGGAGCUUCACAUGUUAUGGUUAAAAGGUAUUGUCCAAAUUUAGCAUCUGUGAGCCUUACAGAGGCAUGACCCUAAGAAGAAGUGAUGAAAAAUGCCUAUUUUAAAAACAAAUAACCCUAUUUAUAAUGACACCAAAGGGAAAGUGGAGAAUUCAGUAUUUACUACUGACACCUGCCACUUGCAAAAUCUCUCCACUGCUCGAAACAAGUAUUUGUGAGAGUUUGGAAAAUUUUGAUCACUCAUUUUUUCCUCCUUUGCUUCCAUUUUGCUCACUGGUAGGGCUGUCCAAUAACAGCACUGACGUUGCUGAAAUGUCAUGAUGAACUUUGCUCAUGUACUAGUUCCAGGUGAGAUGGGAGUAGUUACAGUUCUUAACAAAACAAAACAAAAGAAGUAUUUGCCAAUGUUUUUGGAUAUAGUUGUUAUGUCCCAGGCACAGAGAUUAGUCAGAGCGUCCAUAAAUAUCACUGUCACUGAAAUCUGAUAUCCAAACCCUUCACUCCAAAUGCCCACCAGCUGUCAAAACCCUGCUGAGCUUUGGCCAUUGGGCUGUAAACUCCUUCUGGGUUUUGCUCCGUGCCUGGUGCAAUGGCUGAGGGUCUCUGCCAAUGCAGUAGGGCGAGCAUUUCAGGAGGGAAAGCAAAAGGCACAUCCUACACAGUGGAUUGCCUGGUGGGAAAAAGCUCCCAUUGUGUAUCAUAUUGCACAGUCCACCUCCCAGGCUUCAUUCCUGCUGUUAGCUUCUGGUCCCUGGAGUACAGGAGGGUCAGUGUAGAAGGUUACAGAGUAGCUGUGGAGGCUGGUGUGCCAGCCAGUACAAGAUCAUGAAUGGUCAGGUUAAAUUUUGCUCUUUCUUGAGUACUCUAUUAGAAACUGAGCUAAACAGUGUCUUGGUCCCAACACAUAUAGAAGUUUUAAUGCUAUCACAUAAAGAAAAAUCCAGUUUCUCUGAGAAAGCUUGAGACAAAAGAGCCAACCCAAGAUAUUUAUCAUUUUACACUAAAUUCAUGCAAACAAAAACAACGCUCUUUACAGUAAAUCUAUUGCUGAGUUUUACUAGAAUUAACUGAUACUCCUACUUGCUUAAUAUCUAGCUGGUAGGCUUGGUGAAGGUUUUUUUUCCAUAGAUGUAUUUUGGUGAAGGAGAAGGCGUUCUUCAAUGGAUUAAAAUGUUUUGCAUCCAGAAAUGUUCCAUUUCUUUGAAAGGUUUAGAGUUUUCAGUAGGAAAAAAGCUAAGAACAGCAGCUGAAUUAUUUUGAGUACGAAUUUUCUUCAGUAUUCCACUCACACAUCACCUCAAAACACUACAGAAAUAGCAUAUUAACUGAAGCAAAUUGAAGCAAAAUCCAUUCAUAUCAUCAACAGAUUUUCUAGGGGAGAGAAGUAGACCUUAGUUACUUUCAUCAUUUACUACUUGUGCUUAAAGCUGGCUUUAAUCCAGCUCUGAAUUCCACAGGUGGAUGCUCUGCAGCAUCCCAGAACCACAUGAGUCUGGUCUCUGAGUUGAAUUCAUACAUGGAGCAGACCGUGUCAACUCAACACUAUGCGUUAGUAAUAAUGAUAUGUUUAGAGCCUAUUGGAACCUAUAUAAACUCCAAAUUAGCUCAGCUGAGCUGGAAAUACCACCAACAAUGAUUGUCUUAGAGAGAGCAGCAGAAAUGUUACCUGAACCAGUGAUUGAGCACCUGGUAGGAAGGCAGGGCCAAUCCAGAGGAGCU